This 253-nucleotide ribosomal RNA is filed under the name uncultured bacterium. RNAcentral describes it as "partial 16S ribosomal RNA". It matches the Rfam family "Bacterial small subunit ribosomal RNA", at positions 524 to 776 of the family's 1533-position model. The record is from RNAcentral.
UACGCAGGGUGCAAGCGUUAAUCGGAAUUACUGGGCGUAAAGCGUGCGCAGGCGGUUGUGCAAGACAGAUGUGAAAUCCCCGGGCUCAACCUGGGAACUGCAUUUGUGACUGCACAGCUUGAGUGCGGCAGAGGGGGAUGGAAUUCCGCGUGUAGCAGUGAAAUGCGUAGAUAUGCGGAGGAACACCGAUGGCGAAGGCAAUCCCCUGGGCCUGCACUGACGCUCAUGCACGAAAGCGUGGGGAGCAAACAGG